UCCGUAGGUGGAUGAUUAAGUCAGAGGUGAAAGUCUGCAGCUCAACUGUAGAAUUGCCUUUGAUACUGGUCAUCUUGAAUUAUUGUGAAGUGGUUAGAAUAUGUAGUGUAGCGGUGAAAUGCAUAGAUAUUACAUAGAAUACCAAUUGCGAAGGCAGAUCACUAACAAUAUAUUGACACUGAUGGACGAAAGCGUGGGGAGCGAACAGGAUUAGAUACCCUGGUAGUCC
This 229-nucleotide ribosomal RNA is filed under the name uncultured bacterium. RNAcentral's name for it is "partial 16S ribosomal RNA". It matches the Rfam family "Bacterial small subunit ribosomal RNA", at positions 568 to 796 of the family's 1533-position model. The record is from RNAcentral.